AUCCAGCUGAUGAGUCCCAAACAGAACGACACAUGCGUCCUGGAU
This 45-nucleotide non-coding RNA is filed under the name Schistosoma margrebowiei. Lineage: Eukaryota; Metazoa; Platyhelminthes; Trematoda; Strigeidida; Schistosomatidae. The record is from RNAcentral.